UACGUAGGGUGCGAGCGUUAAUCGGAAUUACUGGGCGUAAAGCGUGCGCAGGCGGCUUUGCAAGACAGAUGUGAAAUCCCCGGGCUUAACCUGGGAACUGCAUUUGUGACUGCAUGGCUGGAGUGCGGCAGAGGGGGAUGGAAUUCCGCGUGUAGCAGUGAAAUGCGUAGAUAUGCGGAGGAACACCGAUGGCGAAGGCAAUCCCCUGGGCCUGCACUGACGCUCAUGCAUGAAAGCGUGGGGAGCAAACAGG
Molecule: ribosomal RNA, 253 nt
Filed under: uncultured bacterium
Lineage: Bacteria
Description: partial 16S ribosomal RNA
Rfam family: Bacterial small subunit ribosomal RNA
Source: RNAcentral